RNAcentral lists this ribosomal RNA (229 nucleotides) under uncultured bacterium. RNAcentral's name for it is "partial 16S ribosomal RNA". It matches the Rfam family "Bacterial small subunit ribosomal RNA", at positions 568 to 796 of the family's 1533-position model. The record is from RNAcentral.
UCCGUAGGCGGGCUAAUAAGUCAGGGGUGAAAUCCCACAGCUUAACUGUGGAACUGCCUUUGAUACUGUUAGUCUUGAGUUAUAUGGAAGUAGAUAGAAUGUGUAGUGUAGCGGUGAAAUGCAUAGAUAUUACACAGAAUACCGAUUGCGAAGGCAGUCUACUACGUAUAUACUGACGCCAAUGGACGAAAGCGUGGGGAGCGAACAGGAUUAGAUACCCUGGUAGUCC